AUUGAACGCUGGCGGCAGGCCUAACACAUGCAAGUCGAGCGGAUGAAGGGAGCUUGCUCCUGGAUUCAGCGGCGGACGGGCGAGUAAUGCCUAGGAAUCUGCCUGGCAGUGGGGGAUAACGUCCGGAAACGGGCGCUAAUACCGCAUACGUCCUGAGGGAGAAAGUGGGGGAUCUUCGGACCUCACGCUAUCAGAUGAGCCUAGGUCGGAUUAGCUAGUUGGUGGGGUAAAGGCCUACCAAGGCGACGAUCCGUAACUGGUCUGAGAGGAUGAUCAGUCACACUGGAACUGAGACACGGUCCAGACUCCUACGGGAGGCAGCAGUGGGGAAUAUUGGACAAUGGGCGAAAGCCUGAUCCAGCCAUGCCGCGUGUGUGAAGAAGGUCUUCGGAUUGUAAAGCACUUUAAGUUGGGAAGAAGGGCAGUAAGUUAAUACCUUGCUGUUUUGACGGUACCAACAGAAUAAGCACCGGCUAACUUCGUG
RNAcentral lists this ribosomal RNA (484 nucleotides) under uncultured bacterium. RNAcentral's name for it is "partial 16S ribosomal RNA". It matches the Rfam family "Bacterial small subunit ribosomal RNA", at positions 30 to 507 of the family's 1533-position model. The record is from RNAcentral.